AUCCCAUGAUAAGGAUAGGCGGCCACGUAUUCCUGCAGACAUUCCUAUGCUUCCGGAAUAGACUCGUCCCUUGUAUGUUGGAAACUGGAAAUCCUUCCAUGAAGGGC
Molecule: small nucleolar RNA, 107 nt
Organism: Oryza sativa (Asian cultivated rice)
Lineage: Eukaryota; Viridiplantae; Streptophyta; Magnoliopsida; Poales; Poaceae
Rfam family: Plant small nucleolar RNA R71
About the family: R71 is a member of the C/D box family of snoRNAs containing the C (UGAUGA) and D (CUGA) box motifs. Multiple nearly identical copies of this snoRNA have been identified in Arabidopsis, and it is thought to function as a 2'-O-ribose methylation guide for 18S ribosomal RNA.
Source: Rfam